This 466-nucleotide ribosomal RNA is filed under the name uncultured bacterium. Its description in RNAcentral is "partial 16S ribosomal RNA". It matches the Rfam family "Bacterial small subunit ribosomal RNA", at positions 28 to 507 of the family's 1533-position model. The record is from RNAcentral.
GAUGAACGCUGGCGGCGUGCUUAACACAUGCAAGUCGAACGGUAAAGCCCAGCUUGCUGGGUGUGUUCGUGGCGCAAACGUGAGUAACACAUGAGUAACCUGCCCCUUACACUUUGGUAAGCCUUGGGGACUCGGGCUAUUACCCGAUAGAGGCGCCCACGCCACGGUGUGGGGUGUGAAGAUUUGGCGGUUUUGGAUGGACUCGCGGCCUAUCAGCUUGUUGGUGGGGGAAUGGCUCACCAAGGCGCCGACGGGUAGCCGGCCUGAGAGGGUGACCGGCCACACUGGGACUGAGAUACGGCCCCGACUCCUACGGGAGGCAGCAGUGGGGAAUAUUGCACAAUGGGCGGAAGCCUGAUGCAGCGACGCCGCGUGAGGGAUGACGGCCUUCGGGUUGUAAACCGCUUUCACUAGGGAAGAAGCGAAAGUGACGGUAACUGCAGAAGAAGCACCGGCUAACUACGUG